This 330-nucleotide unclassified non-coding RNA is filed under the name Hevea brasiliensis (rubber tree). The record is from RNAcentral. Lineage: Eukaryota; Viridiplantae; Streptophyta; Magnoliopsida; Malpighiales; Euphorbiaceae.
UCCCCUGCUUGUGCAUUCAUGGCGAAGUAAGCAUCAGUUAGAUAGAAAGAACUUGUUAACCAGCCUAUCCCAAUAUUCAGCCAAUAUACCGCCAAUUCUAGCAUCUGUCUGUUCAUCCCACGGGAAUGGUUUUGUUCGUUGAGUGGCUUGAAGAAGUUCAUCCAUUGAAAUCUCCCCCUUUGAUCUUCCCAGGGGAGCUGGUUUAUCGUAUUCAGGACAGUAAUCCAGAUCAGCAUGCAUUUUCUUGACAAAUGUUUUGAAGGUUCUGAAGUUCCUACUUUGAAGGAGUUUUUCAGAUAAUCGAAGGUAAGUCAGCCCAGCCAUUUUUAG